Molecule: transfer RNA, 72 nt
Filed under: Camelus bactrianus (Bactrian camel)
Lineage: Eukaryota; Metazoa; Chordata; Mammalia; Artiodactyla; Camelidae
Also listed under: 2 other names
Rfam family: tRNA
About the family: Transfer RNA (tRNA) molecules are approximately 80 nucleotides in length. Their secondary structure includes four short double-helical elements and three loops (D, anti-codon, and T loops).
Source: Rfam by way of RNAcentral
GAGGGUAGAGCUCAGUGGUGGAGUGUGUGCUUAGCGUGCACAAGGUCCUAGGUUCAGUCCCCAGUACCUCCA